Molecule: ribosomal RNA, 183 nt
Filed under: Escherichia coli
Lineage: Bacteria; Pseudomonadati; Pseudomonadota; Gammaproteobacteria; Enterobacterales; Enterobacteriaceae
Also listed under: 1 other name
Description: partial 16S ribosomal RNA
Rfam family: Bacterial small subunit ribosomal RNA
Source: RNAcentral
AAAUUGAAGAGUUUGAUCAUGGCUCAGAUUGAACGCUGGCGGCAGGCCUAACACAUGCAAGUCGAACGGUAACAGGAAGCAGCUUGCUGCUUCGCUGACGAGUGGCGGACGGGUGAGUAAUGUCUGGGAAACUGCCUGAUGGAGGGGGAUAACUACUGGAAACGGUAGCUAAUACCGCAUAAU